GAUGAACGCUAGCUACAGGCUUAACACAUGCAAGUCGAGGGGCAGCAUGAACUUAGCUUGCUAAGUUUGAUGGCGACCGGCGCACGGGUGAGUAACACGUAUCCAACCUGCCGAUGACUCGGGGAUAGCCUUUCGAAAGAAAGAUUAAUACCCGAUGGCAUAGUUCUUCCGCAUGGUAGAACUAUUAAAGAAUUUCGGUCAUCGAUGGGGAUGCGUUCCAUUAGGUUGUUGGCGGGGUAACGGCCCACCAAGCCUUCGAUGGAUAGGGGUUCUGAGAGGAAGGUCCCCCCACAUUGGAACUGAGACACGGUCCAAACUCCUACGGGAGGCAGCAGUGAGGAAUAUUGGUCAAUGGACGAGAGUCUGAACCAGCCAAGUAGCGUGAAGGAUGACUGCCCUAUGGGUUGUAAACUUCUUUUAUACGGGAAUAAAGUGAGGCAUGUGUGCCUUUUUGUAUGUACCGUAUGAAUAAGGAUCGGCUAACUCCGUGCCAGCAGCCGACGG
Molecule: ribosomal RNA, 504 nt
Filed under: uncultured bacterium
Lineage: Bacteria
Description: bacterial SSU rRNA
Rfam family: Bacterial small subunit ribosomal RNA
Source: RNAcentral